UACGGAGGAUGCAAGCGUUAUCCGGAUUCAUUGGGUUUAAAGGGUGCGCAGGCGGGUUUGUAAGUCAGUGGUGAAAUACUGCCGCUUAACGGUAGGAUUGCCAUUGAUACUGCAAAUCUUGAGUAUGGUUGAGGUAGGCGGAAUGUGCAGUGUAGCGGUGAAAUGCUUAGAUAUUGUACAGAACGCCGAUUGCGAAGGCAGCUUACUAAGCCAUUACUGACGCUGAGGCACGAAAGCGUGGGGAUCGAACAGGAUUAGAUACCCUGGUAGUCCACGCCGUAAACGAUGUUCACUCGCUGUUUGCGAUAAACAGCAAGCGGCUAAGCGAAAGCGUUAAGUGAACCACCUGGGGAGUACGAUCGCAAGGUUGAA
Molecule: ribosomal RNA, 372 nt
Filed under: uncultured bacterium
Lineage: Bacteria
Description: bacterial SSU rRNA
Rfam family: Bacterial small subunit ribosomal RNA
Source: RNAcentral